AAGAAAGAAGAAGGAUGAGGAGGAGGAGAAGAGGAGAAGGAAGAGGAAGAAAACUGAGUUUGGCCCAGAGGCAAGCUAUAAAAGUGUUUCAUUUUAUACAUUUAUUUACAGGUUUUAACCUUCAAUGCCCUCAUUCAUUCAAAUCUUAUAAAUCUUCUUUUCUUAUACUACUGAUAUGUGUAAAUCGACAGAGCUACAACACACACAGCCACAACACACAGAAGCCCAUCUCCAUCCCAUCCAUGACUCGUGCCAAGAAAAUUCCUCCAGUUCGUGUGGAAGGAAGGUCAGCAUUUGAGAGAACAGCGUGUGACGACGAUGAGGCCACAGAGACGGACCAGGCACUAGAAGUUUACUAGGGAGAAAGAAACCAUGGCAGGAACCACAGAGAACUUUUAUCCAUGAAGCCAAGAGGAUGGACACACCACACCAACUGUCCUUGAGGAAGGACAGCAGCCCAUGACAAACUACUUCACUGGAUCCAUGCGCCAACUGCAACUACUGAUGCUCCAGCUAUCCAGGGCCAAUGUGGAAUGUGAACUAAAGGGGACCAAGGAGAAGGAAAAGCAA
Molecule: long non-coding RNA, 570 nt
Organism: Mus musculus (house mouse)
Lineage: Eukaryota; Metazoa; Chordata; Mammalia; Rodentia; Muridae
Product: predicted gene, 34056
Exons: 3
Source: RefSeq, a predicted model, not a curated record